GGCCGGGUGGUGGAAUGGUAGACACGAGGGAUUUAAAAUCCCUUGGCGGCAACGUCGUGCGGGUUCAAGUCCCGCCCCGGCUA
This 83-nucleotide transfer RNA is filed under the name Candidatus Hinthialibacter antarcticus. RNAcentral describes it as "tRNA-Leu". It matches the Rfam family "tRNA". Rfam says of the family: Transfer RNA (tRNA) molecules are approximately 80 nucleotides in length. Lineage: Bacteria; Candidatus Hinthialibacterota; Candidatus Hinthialibacteria; Candidatus Hinthialibacterales; Candidatus Hinthialibacteraceae. The record is from RNAcentral.